This 175-nucleotide small nuclear RNA is filed under the name Helianthus annuus (common sunflower). RNAcentral describes it as "U2 spliceosomal RNA". It matches the Rfam family "U2 spliceosomal RNA". Rfam says of the family: U2 is a small nuclear RNA (snRNA) component of the spliceosome (involved in pre-mRNA splicing). The record is from RNAcentral. Lineage: Eukaryota; Viridiplantae; Streptophyta; Magnoliopsida; Asterales; Asteraceae.
AUAUAUCGUUUGUUUUAGUCAACAAAUGACGACAAGUUUUGUAAAUUGUGAGCCAUCGGCCCACUCGAUAUUAAUCUUAUUUUUUAUGGGGAAAGGUCCAUCACAAUAGCUUGCUAUUGGGGUCUUUGAGUGUCGCCUUGGCGUUGCACUACUGCCUUGGCCUGGCGCACCCCUU